GAGUUUGAUCAUGGCUCAGAGUGAACGCUGGCGGUAGGCCUAACACAUGCAAGUCGAACGGCAGCACAGUAAGAGCUUGCUCUUAUGGGUGGCGAGUGGCGGACGGGUGAGGAAUACAUCGGAAUCUACUUUUUCGUGGGGGAGUAACGUAGGGAAACUUACGCUAAUACCGCAUACGACCUACGGGUGAAGCAGGGGAUCUUCGGACCUUGCGCGAUUGAAUGAGCCGAUGUCGGAUUAGCUAGUUGGCGGGGUAAAGGCCCACCAAGGCGACGAUCCGUAGCUGGUCUGAGA
This 294-nucleotide ribosomal RNA is filed under the name uncultured microorganism. Its description in RNAcentral is "partial 16S ribosomal RNA". It matches the Rfam family "Bacterial small subunit ribosomal RNA", at positions 9 to 297 of the family's 1533-position model. The record is from RNAcentral.